UUCGCAAUGCCCGAAAGGGUGAUGGAGCGACGCCGCGUGUGGGAAGAAGGCCUUCGGGUUGUAAACCACUGUCGGGAGUUAAGAAAUGCAAGGGUGCUAAUAGUAUCCUUGCUUGACUAAGGCUCCGGAGGAAGCCACGGCUAACUCUGUGCCAGCAGCCGCGGUAAUACAGAGGCGGCAAGCGUUGUUCGGAAUUAUUGGGCGUAAAGAGCACGUAGGCGGCUAUGUAAGUCGGUUGUGAAAGCCUUCCGCUCAACGGAAGAACAGCAUCCGAUACUGCAUGGCUUGAGUGCGGGAGGGGAGAGUGGAACUUCUGGUGGAGCGGUGAAAUGCGUAGAUAUCAGAAGGAACGCCGGCGGCGAAAGCGGCUCUCUGGCCCAUAACUGACGCUGAGUGUGCGAAAGCUAGGGGAGCAAACGGGAUUAGAUACCCCGGUAGUCCUAGCCGUAAACGAUGGGCACUAAGUAGAGGGGUUUU
RNAcentral lists this ribosomal RNA (477 nucleotides) under uncultured anaerobic ammonium-oxidizing bacterium. RNAcentral describes it as "bacterial SSU rRNA". It matches the Rfam family "Bacterial small subunit ribosomal RNA", at positions 365 to 832 of the family's 1533-position model. The record is from RNAcentral.